Molecule: transfer RNA, 73 nt
Filed under: Camelus bactrianus (Bactrian camel)
Lineage: Eukaryota; Metazoa; Chordata; Mammalia; Artiodactyla; Camelidae
Also listed under: 2 other names
Rfam family: tRNA
About the family: Transfer RNA (tRNA) molecules are approximately 80 nucleotides in length. Their secondary structure includes four short double-helical elements and three loops (D, anti-codon, and T loops).
Source: Rfam by way of RNAcentral
AAGGGUAUAGCUCAAGUGGUAGAGCACAUGCUUCACAUAUACAAGGUCCUGGGUUCAAUCCCCAGUACCUCCU